UAGGGAAUCUUCGGCAAUGGACGAAAGUCUGACCGAGCAACGCCGCGUGAGUGAAGAAGGUUUUCGGAUCGUAAAACUCUGUUGUUAGAGAAGAACAAGGACGUUAGUAACUGAACGUCCCCUGACGGUAUCUAACCAGAAAGCCACGGCUAACUACGUGCCAGCAGCCGCGGUAAUACGUAGGUGGCAAGCGUUGUCCGGAUUUAUUGGGCGUAAAGCGAGCGCAGGCGGUUUCUUAAGUCUGAUGUGAAAGCCCCCGGCUCAACCGGGGAGGGGCAUUGGAAACUGAGAGACUUGAGUGCAGAAGAGGAGAGUGGAAUUCCAUGUGUAGCGGUGAAAUGCGUAGAUAUAUGGAGGAACACCAGUGGCGAAGGCGGCUCUCUGGUCUGUAACUGACGCUGAGGCUCGAAAGCGUGGGGAGCAAACAGG
RNAcentral lists this ribosomal RNA (429 nucleotides) under Gemmatimonadota bacterium. RNAcentral describes it as "Gemmatimonadetes bacterium partial 16S ribosomal RNA". It matches the Rfam family "Bacterial small subunit ribosomal RNA", at positions 355 to 776 of the family's 1533-position model. Lineage: Bacteria; Pseudomonadati; Gemmatimonadota. The record is from RNAcentral.